UGAAUCAAACUCAAAGCUAGGUCCUGAUAUCUCAAGGCACAGGUACUCGUACUUAAAGGCACUGUCAUCUCUCAAGUACCCAUCGUGGAGGGUACGGACCCCACAUGAGGAAAGGACCAACCACCUCGAGCUCAGUUAUGGCACAAACAGUGGGACCUAGACAAAGGGAGAGGGUGACCAGCAUCCCAACUAGAUUUCAGUGGAGUGAAGUUCAGGAGGCAUGGAGCUGACGACCACGAGGCCUCGGCAGCCACCGCCGCUGCCGCCACCACCACCGCCGCCGCCGCCGCCGCCGCAGCAGCAAGAGUAACUCUGACUUAGGAAUAGAGACAGCCGGAGAGAAAUGUGAUCAAUGAAGGAGACAUGUGGAGUGUGCGUGCUUCUUCAGAGGGACUGGUGAUGGGCAGACUGGAAAAAGCACUGCAGAUGGGAACAUUAAUCUUUCUUUUCUAAAAUUGAUGCUAUGAAAAUUUGCGUUUUCUGUAACUUGUAAAAACUAAAAGUUGCUUGUCUACUGAAAA
This 521-nucleotide long non-coding RNA is filed under the name Pongo abelii (Sumatran orangutan). Its description in RNAcentral is "lincRNA". Lineage: Eukaryota; Metazoa; Chordata; Mammalia; Primates; Hominidae. The record is from RNAcentral.